UCAAUUAGCAUACAACCACGAAAAGGUGAAGUCCUAUUUCCAUGAAAGGAUGUGGGUCUGUGUGUCUGAUCCUUUUGACCCAAUGAGGAUUUCUAGGGCUAUUCUUGAAGCCCUCCAGAAAGAGUCUUCUGGUUUCCAUGAUCUGGAAGCUGUACAACAAAAAAUUUGCACACUUAUUGCCGAUAAGAAGUUCCUACUCGUGCUAGAUGAUGUUUGGACUGAAAACUAUGAAUUGUGGGAACAAGUAGAGAGUUCUCUCAAGGGUGGGGCACCGGGAAGUAGAAUUUUGGUGACCACACGAAACGAAAACGUUUCUACAAUGAUGGGAACCACGUACAAGCACCCCUUGGGAGAAUUGUCCAAGGAGCAAUGUCGGUCAUUGUUCAGUAACAUAGCCUUUUACGGAAGGAGUAGAGAAAAAGUUGAAGAACUAGAAAACAUUGGCAGGAAAAUAGCAGACAAGUGUAGGGGCUUGCCUCUUGCUGCAAAAGUUUUAGGGAGUCUCAUGCGCUUAAAAGAUAAUAAAGAAGAUUGGGAGAGUAUUUUGAAUAAUGAAAUAUGGCAACUUGAUGUGAUUGAGAAACAUCUUUCCACUCCUUUAUUGUUGAGUUAUUAUGAUUUAUCCCCUGCUGUUAAACGCUGCUUCUCAUAUUGUGCUGUCUUCCCAAAAGAUCAAAUCAUUAGGAAAGAUAGAUUGAUCAAGUUGUGGAUGGCAAAUAGCUAUCUCAAUUCUAGAGAAAGUAUAGAGAUGGAGAAAACAGGUGGAGACUACUUUGAAGACUUGGUGUCACGGUCACUUUUCCAAGAUUUUGGUAGAGAUGAUGAGGGCAACAUAAUAUCGUGCAAGAUGCAUGACAUAGUGCAUGAUCUUGCCCAAUAUUUGACCAAGAAUGAAUGCUUCAUUCUGGAGAUUGAUGAUGAAAAGGAAGUGAGGAUGGCUUCCUCCUUCCAAAAGGCUCGUCAUGCAACCUUAAUUAGUGCACGAAGGGUUGGAUUUCCCAGCACUAUCCAUAAUUUGAAAUAUCUGCACACAUUGUUUGCUGCACAUCUGGUCAAUUCCUUCACUCCUCAACCCCCCACCUAAUUUAUUCAAACAUUUGGUAUGCCUUAGGGCAUUAGACUUGAGUGUGAAUGAUUUUUUGGGGGAACUGCCGAGGAACUUGGGGAAAUUGAUACAUCUGAGGUACCUUAAUAUAUCAAAUAAUGAGUGGUUGACGGAAUUGCCCGAAACAAUUUGUGAUCUAUAUAAUUUGCAAACUUUAGAUGUUUUUGGAUGUAGACUCCUUGAAAUACUACCUCAGGGGAUGAGAAAACUAAUUAACCUGAGACAUCUUGAAUGGGAACGCAGUAGAGUAUUGAUGUUGCCAAAAGGAAUCGGGAGAUUGACCUCACUUCGGACAUUAACUGAGUUUCCUAUAAUUGUUGAUCAUUUUAGACGUGAUGUAUGCAAAAUAGGAGAACUGAAAAACUUAAACAGCCUCAGGGGAGGUCUUGUGAUAAGUGGGAUAGCUUAUGUGAAAGAUGCAGAGGAGGCUGGCGAAGCAGAAUUGAAGAAUAAGAAACACCUCCAUCAUUUGGAACUAGAGGAUUUUGGGCGGCUUGGCUCAGCUGCUUCAAAAGGUGUGGCUGAAGCUCUACAGCCUCAUCAAAACUUGAAGUCUUUAAAAAUAAGUAAUUACGAUGCUGCCGCCGAGUUCCCCAGUUGGAUAGCGGCCUCAUCGCUGGCCCAAUUGAAAAAGCUUGAAAUUGUGUAUUGCGCACAGGUUACAUGUUUGCCUCCAUUGGGGGAACUACCUCUCCUUGAAAUCCUGAUAAUAAAGAAUAUGAACAGAGUGAAAUACGUGGGUGGUGAGUUUUUGGGAUCUUCUUCAACAACUGCAUUCCCAAAGCUGAAGCAACUCAUUUUUUAUGCUAUGAAAGAGUGGGAAAAGUGGGAAGUAAAAGAAGAAGAUGAAGAAGAAGAAUGGAGGUCAGUAAUGCCAUGUCUCCACUCCUUGAUCACAUGUGAAUGCCCUAAGCUGGAAAGCCUGCCCGAGCGCCUGCUCCAGAUUACUGCACUACAGAAACUGUUUAUCAUCGACUGUCCUACUGUGCGAGGAGGGAUCGAUUUGUCCAAAUUAUCUCAUAUUUCACAAGUUCAGUUUAAUCGGCUGUUGUGAUAGCAUCGCUAGCUCUAGCUGCAUGCACUCCAGAGAGUGCAAGCCUGACUCCCUCCGUCCAAAGGAGUGCAUCUCAUGCUGGAAGAAAUCAACUAUCAUGCUCCCAAGAGAUGAGACGAAUAAAUUUUUUAUCAUUCCACUGGGUUUUCUGAUGAAUCCAUGUCAAAUUAUGAUGCAUGUGUACUAUGAUAUCCAAACUCUGGCAAGUGGUCCAAAGCUGAUUAAUUAUAAACAGAUAUUUUUCCUUGUACUACUCCAUAGUUUCUUUGUAAUAAGCUCAUUGCCUGUUAUCAGGUUUGGAUCAUGAAACAAACUAUUACGUAUAUAUGUUUGAAUAUUGGAUUGGGCACAAUUGCAUUAA
This is an RNA transcript of Vitis riparia (riverbank grape), 2520 nucleotides long. It is a transcript of the gene named putative disease resistance protein At3g14460, with no coding region annotated. NCBI's taxonomy places the organism in Eukaryota, Viridiplantae, Streptophyta, Magnoliopsida, Vitales, Vitaceae. The record is from RefSeq and is a predicted model, not a curated record. The transcript is spliced from 2 exons.